CUAGACCUAUACAGAUAUAUUCAUCCGACUGUAUGCCUACGGUUCGAUCUUAUUCUUUUAACAUUCUAGUAAUAUUUAUCUAUAAUAAAAUCAGUAUUAAGGAAUAUGUUUCUUACAUAAACGUUAAUGCACAAUAAAAUAAAAUGUCUAAAUAAAUAUGUGUGCUUGUAUUUUUGCCUUGAAUUAAAACCUUUAGAAAAUAAUGGUAUUCUAUUUUUUUUUUUUAAUUUUAUUAACUUAUUAUAUAAUGGAAAAUCUUACUUAUACUGGUUGUCGCAGUUAUCUAUGUAACUGUAUAGUAGAAUUAUUUCUCUAAUUGAUAGUGCGGCGUUGAUCACUAUAUUGAUGACGUCAUUACACUAUUAAUAUUUUUCUUUGUAGACUAGAGGACUGAGCUUUUGUUGCUUGUCACAACUUCUAGUGACGUAAAUUUAGUGUGUGUGUGAUUUGCGUCAUUUAUCGUCUAGUACAGUCUCUCCAUUGUUUUGUACGUUGGUACAGAUAGACGUCUCUUUAGAGCUCUUGAAUUUCUCCUUGGGUUUUGUUAUUGGAUAGCCUUAGCAUUUGCCUUGGACAUUUUCUUGUUGGAUUAUCUUGACCCCUGUUUAGGGGUUUUAGCGUCAAGUCUAAGUUUUAGUCGUAGUCUCAGUUCAAGACACUUAUUUCAAGUUCUAGCGACAAGUCUAUGUAGUGAUCUUAGCUUGGUGUCAAGCCUAUAUGUUAGACUCAGUGUCAAGUCUCAGUGUCAAGACUUGUUUAUCCAGUCUCAGUUCUAUAUUGAGAGUACAACUUGAGGUCUACAGUCUACAGUCUACAGGACUGAGGUCUUCCUCCCAGUUGGUCGUUUGGUGUGCAAGUUGAUUCUUACAUGAGUCUGAGGUUCAAGACUGCGGGUUGUAGUGGUCAGACCUGAUGUUAUAGUGUAAACUAUGAACUUCUAUUUUGGAAUUGUCGUCAGUGGACAGUACCUGAUCUAGAGGCUAGAUCUACAUAUAUUACCAGUUGUUGUUUUGAGAUUGAAGGUCUAUGUGAUCCAUUGAACUACCUAUUAUAGUUAAAGUAAUAUAUUAUGUAUUUCAUAAUUAUUUGAAUAUUCUAAAGAUACUAACUGGAUCAUUUUAUAUUACAUAUUAUUACAUAUUGAUAUUUCAUACUAUUAUUAUCAUUCAUCAUGGAUCAGUCAUUUGUAUAUCACUAGAAUAAAUUUUAUUGUUAUUUACAUCA
Molecule: long non-coding RNA, 1224 nt
Organism: Biomphalaria glabrata
Lineage: Eukaryota; Metazoa; Mollusca; Gastropoda; Planorbidae
Exons: 2
Source: RefSeq, a predicted model, not a curated record